CUGACUUCGGGGGACGAUAACGGCGUCGAGCGGCGGACGGGUGAGUAAUGCCUAGGAAAUUGCCCUGAUGUGGGGGAUAACCAUUGGAAACGAUGGCUAAUACCGCAUAAUGCCUACGGGCCAAAGAGGGGGACCUUCGGGCCUCUCGCGUCAGGAUAUGCCUAGGUGGGAUUAGCUAGUUGGUGAGGUAAUGGCUCACCAAGGCGACGAUCCCUAGCUGGUCUGAGAGGAUGAUCAGCCACACUGGAACUGAGACACGGUCCAGACUCCUACGGGAGGCAGCAGUGGGGAAUAUUGCACAAUGGGCGCAAGCCUGAUGCAGCCAUGCCGCGUGUGUGAAGAAGGCCUUCGGGUUGUAAAGCACUUUCAGUCGUGAGGAAGGUGGUGGUGUUAAUAGCACUAUCAUUUGACGUUAGCGACAGAAGAAGCACCGGCUAACUCCGUGCCAGCAGCCGCGGUAAUACGGAGGGUGCGAGCGUUAAUCGGAAUUACUGGGCGUAAAGCGCAUGCAGGUGGUUUGUUAAGUCAGAUGUGAAAGCCCGGGGCUCAACCUCGG
This 556-nucleotide ribosomal RNA is filed under the name Vibrio sp. AmSamDD85. RNAcentral describes it as "bacterial SSU rRNA". It matches the Rfam family "Bacterial small subunit ribosomal RNA", at positions 67 to 618 of the family's 1533-position model. Lineage: Bacteria; Pseudomonadati; Pseudomonadota; Gammaproteobacteria; Vibrionales; Vibrionaceae. The record is from RNAcentral.